UCAGGAUUGGCAUGCUGGGCAUCUUCCCAUCGCUGGCUGGUCUCACCUGGUCCACCUUCCACUCAUAUCCUCUGGCAACUAACUUCCUCUUGUCGCGAGCAGUGUGCGCACCCAACCUCACAUGGCCGGCGACUCACUGUCCGCGUUGCCAUGGUUACAUUCCGGGCAGUGCACCACUUGGUAAUUGUACUCCUCCAAGUAGCUCAGCCACCUCCACAGCUGUCCUUCUGGGUUCUUCAGAGUUUUUAGCCACCUCAGCGCCACAUGGUCGGUCCUGAUAACAAACUCAGCUCCAUACAAGUAUGAGUGGAAGUGGGCCAAACUUCUCACUACAGUAUAGCACACAACUCCUUCCUGGUGACGCAGUAGUUCCGCUCAGGCUUGCUGAACUUGGAGCUGUAAUAGGCUAGCAUAUACUCCUUACCUUCCUUUACUUGAGACAGCACUGCUCCGAGGCCCUCUGCGCUUGUGUCAGUGUCGAGAAUGAAGGGAAGGCCGGGAACAGGGAAGGGCAACACCGGAGCACUUAUCAUCACCACCUUCAAACAAUCAAACGCGUCCUGGCAAACUUCAUCCCAGGUGAAGCGGGCAUUCUUCCUCAUCAGUUGAUGCAGGGAAGCUGCAAGGGCGGCAAAGCCUUCUAUGAACCUCCGGUAGUAGCUGCACAGGCCAAGGAAGCUUCUCACACUCGCCACAGACGUCUGGACCGGCCAAUCUGCCACUGCCGACACCUUGUUAGGGUCCGUGCGCACCCACCUCACCCCAUGUCCCAGGAACAGCACUUCAUGCUGGAAGAAAGUGCAUUUCUUCAGGUUCAGCUUCAGGUUCGCCUCCCGCAGAUGGCCCAGCACCACAUCCAGACUUUUCAGCUCCUCCUCAAAUGUCCUCGCAAACACCAGAACGUCAUCCAGGUACACUAAAGCUGCCUUCUACUGCAACUCAGCUAACACCUUCUCCAUGAGCCGCUCAAAGCAUCCUGGGGCGUUGCACAAACCAAAUGGCAUCACACGGAACUGCCACAGUUCCUGGCCGAAGGAGAAAGCCGUUUUUUGCUUGUCUGCCUCUGCCAUCAUCACCUGGUGAUACCCUGACUUCAGAUCCAAGGUGGACAACCACUGAACACCAGCUAGAGCGUCCAGGGUGUCGUCUAUCCUGGGCAGGGGAUAGGAGUCCUUUACUGUGACGUCAUUCAGCGCCCUGUAAUCUACACAGAAGCAUUUGGUGCCAUCCUUCUUGUUUACCAGGACUACUGGCGAUGACCACUGGCUGUCAGAGCGCUCCACUAAACCCUGUGCAGCCAUCUCCUCCACCAUGCGCUGCAUCUUAUCUCUCUUGGCCAGCGGGACACGGUGAUGUGGCUGCUUUAUCGGCGGACUGUCUACCGUGUUGGAGUGCUGUACUAACGACGUGCAGCCAAGGUCUUGGGCAUCUUGGCUGAAGACGUCCUCGUGCUCCAUCAGCAGUUUCUUCAGCUUCACCACCUGUUCAGGAGUCAGCUUGGUAGCGCUACGUACCGCCAAGUCCACCACGUGUGUAGGUAGCACAGGGAUCUUCUCACCUGCAUCUCCGUCCACCUCACUUCUGCAGCUGCGCGCUGCCCGGCGUUCACGGGCAUCACAGUGGUGUCUGCAGUCUCAUCUUCCCUCACAACUCGGCAGUGCAGCUCCAGCCUCUCGUCCUCGACAUCUGAACUCAUCACGGGGCUCUCCACCUGUUCAACAGCAUCCUCAAGGAUGCUGUUGAACCUGCAUCCGCAUCCUUCCGAGGUCCACACAUGCUUCACUCUGAACCAGGAAAUCCAGCCCUAGCAGACAGGGUUCCUCCAUGUCAGCCAUGAAUACUACUGGUAGCUUCUCUUUCACACCACUUACCGUGAUCGUAGACAUCAUGGGGCCUCAUAGUAUCAUACAGCGGCCAGUCAUGCCACACAGCUGCCGGUCUGACGAAGGUCCUCGCCGCUCCAGUGUCCACCACCAGGGGACAUGGGCGGCUGUUCACAGCGCCCGACACUUGGACCACCAGCACAGUAGCGUCGCUGUGGCACUUUACACAGACGGGGCCUGGGGACAACUUGGCUGGACAGUGGCCUGAACUUCCAGCCUGCUUUCUUUUCCCCCCACCAUCAUGACGUCCUUCAGCUGUGAGCAGGUAGCACGGCGAUGACCCCACCGUCCACAGUUCUCGCAGCAAGCCUUGGUGGGAGAACGUGCUCGCACAUCCUCCAGCGAGCGUGUCCUCUGCUUACUGCAACAGUCACUGCAACGAUGACCACGUUUGCCACACUUCCAGCAGAAGCCAUUAAACUCACCUGAGCUGGUGCGCCUCAUCCUCUCCUGCUGGACUUAUGUACGUCGAGCUAGUAGGUGGUGGCGCGGCAGCUUCUGGGUGGCAGAACGAUGGUACGGUGUCACAGCAGCGGCGAUAGUGUACAUGAAGGCCUCAAAUUCCAUGGCCCUCGCCAGCACCUGCUGUACAUCUGCUGGGUGCGCCUGCUUCACGUAGAUUUGCACCUGCUGAUCCUCCAGUGUGUCUAUGAAAGCAUCCUGAGACAGUACCGUCACCAUCUCUUUUGGGACCACUGGUUACGCAUAACGCACCAGCGACUCCACCGCCUGAGCUAGCUGUGGAAGAGACUCACCCUGCUGACAUGUUCUGCCCUUCAGCUGUUCCCUGUACACUUCAGCCUGGAACACACUUCCGAAGCGCCUCCUUAACGCCUCAGCCACCGUCGUGUAUGUUGAUCAUUGGCUCGCCAUUAUGUGUGCCAGAAUCUCCAGCACUGGCCCGUGCAGACUGGCUAUGAGCUGCAGUGCUUUUUCCUGGUCGCCCCAUCCCUGUCCUUGAGUGAGCAGCUCAAACUGUGCCUGGUAUGCCUCCCAGGCCACUUGCCUGCCAAACUCAGCCGGUUUGCGCUGGACAGAGGUUCCUCCUACAUACCGGGCGGAUCCAGCGACAGACGGUGAUGGUGGAGAUUGUGGAGGGGUGAUAGCGUCAUCUUCGGGUGCAGGGGUAUACCACAGGUGUGUCGACUGUGUCCUGCCGCCACAACAGCCAGCAUCACCAGGUUCCAAAGAUGUGUAGAGACGGCCCUGUCCUGCUGGCUCAGGACACUCAGGGUGGUAUUUUAAAACCUUCUGCAAACCCAGGCAAUCAUGCGGCUGGCGGUCACAGGAGUGAGGAAGUCCUCACUUUUAAAUGCUACUUCCACCAGUGUUGCAGAGCUCCGGGCUGAGCGAAUGAGAGUGAACGCCACCGUUAACAUGCUAGACUUUAGCGCAUCACGGACUUAAAAAAUGCGGGAAAUUCAAGUUUGUUUACAUUUUCUUCUGGUACACCAUGGCUGCAGCAUUCUCAGAGAAGACCUGUUGCUCUGCUCCGGUAUCCGGGUUGGAUAAACAACAGCUUAUAGAACUUGUGAAAGAACACAUUGAAGUCAUCAAUGAUAAGAGCACAAAAUUCUAUUCUGCAAAUAAGAAAGCUCUGGCGUGGCAAGAAAUAGCCAGGAAGUUCUCCGACGUGAGCGGCUAUAAGAAAACUCCUCAGCAAGUGCGGAAAAUAUGGGAAAAUAUAAAAAAUAGAACAAAGAAGGUCCUAGAAGGACUAUUCCUUAUAAAAGGCUACACGGUCCAAGACGGGAGGAGGCCCACCACCAAAGCCAGUGGAUCCCAUCACUACGGCUGUCCUUCCCCUGCUAGAGGAGGAACUGGAGCCACUAAGUAAUCCAUAUGACAAUGACCGAGGCUAACAUGAAGUCCUUGUUGAAAAUAAGAUGCCUCAUUUACACUUUGUGGAUCACCAGCUGCUUUUGAAUCAACUCCAUGGGCUUCUUCAACACCCAUAUUAACACACCCCCACAAUCCGGAUGGUCACACCACAGUGGAUGAGCCAUCCACUUCUAAAAAAAAAAAAAUGCCUGCAGAAGAAACUAGCCUUCGCAGGGAAAGAAGAAGCACUACAAUUGGCACAUGAAAGACAGCUCCAGAGGGAGGAUGAGCUCCAUGCGAAACGCUUGGAGCUGUUAUAAAUUGAAAAAGAGAUUCUUGAACAGAAAAAAAGGUUCAUGAUAGAAAAACAUGAAAGAGAAAUGCAAAAGUAUUGUUAGAAUAUUUGCCUUUGCCCUCAUUUUUUUUUGUUCAUGUGGAAUGUUGUUUAUGUACAAUUUAGAAUAUUUGCCUGUGCCCUCAUUUUUUCCUGUUCUUUUGGAAUAUUGUU
Molecule: unclassified non-coding RNA, 4212 nt
Filed under: Portunus trituberculatus (swimming crab)
Lineage: Eukaryota; Metazoa; Arthropoda; Malacostraca; Decapoda; Portunidae
Description: uncharacterized LOC123499626, transcript variant X1
Source: RNAcentral